AGUGAACGCUGGCGGUAGGCCUAACACAUGCAAGUCGAACGGCAGCACAGUAAGAGCUUGCUCUUACGGGUGGCGAGUGGCGGACGGGUGAGGAAUACAUCGGAAUCUACUUUUUCGUGGGGGAUAACGUAGGGAAACUUACGCUAAUACCGCAUAUGACCUACGGGUGAAAGCAGGGGAUCUUCGGACCUUGCGCGAUUGAAUGAGCCGAUGUCGGAUUAGCUAGUUGGCGGGGUAAAGGCCCACCAAGGCGACGAUCCGUAGCUGGUCUGAGAGGAUGAUCAGCCACACUGGAACUGAGACACGGUCCAGACUCCUACGGGAGGCAGCAGUGGGGAAUAUCGGACAAUGGGCGCAAGCCUGAUCCAGCCAUACCGCGUGGGUGAAGAAGGCCUUCGGGUUGUAAAGCCCUUUUGUUGGGAAAGAAAAGCAGCAGGUUAAUACCCCGCUGUUCUGACGGUACCCAAAGAAUAAGCACCGGCUAACUUCGUG
This 492-nucleotide ribosomal RNA is filed under the name uncultured bacterium. Its description in RNAcentral is "partial 16S ribosomal RNA". It matches the Rfam family "Bacterial small subunit ribosomal RNA", at positions 29 to 507 of the family's 1533-position model. The record is from RNAcentral.